Molecule: long non-coding RNA, 1130 nt
Filed under: Mus musculus (house mouse)
Lineage: Eukaryota; Metazoa; Chordata; Mammalia; Rodentia; Muridae
Description: predicted gene, 52981
Source: RNAcentral
GAAGUCUUUUCGCCUCUACAAUCAAGCUCUCCCAAUAAACGUGUGCAGAAGGAUCCUGUUGCAGCGUCGUUCUUCCUGGCCAGUCGAGCGCGCGCAAGAGAAGAGUAUAAGAGUAUUCCAUUGUGGGUACAUACCUCGUUUUCCACAUCCGUUUGUCAGUUGAUGACAGCGAUGAUGGUGAUGACGAUGACGAUGACGACAACUAUGACAAUGACUUCAUACUCAGGUUGAACUGGUUAAGAUGAUGCUAGAUUUCAUCCAGUGUGGACAAUGAAACACACAGCAGGGACUGUCAUCUGAAGAGAGGGAACAGGCAAUGGACUGGUGGGGAUAACCGGACAAGGAACACUGGUACUUGUAAAGGCAGGCUCUGAGGAUUGGAUUCAGGUCAUGAGGCUUGCCCGCAAGUGGCAUUUGCCAUCUCACCAGCCCUCCCCAAUCAAAGACAAUGUCCACACGAAGGAUGUUUUAAAUGAAGCGCCAAGUCCUCCAAGCCAACUGCCCCAUGAGCCUCUGUUCAAUUUAUUCGACUCCCGGAUCACUGUAAGAAUGCUGAGGUUACAGCUGUGUACCACCUCAUCAAGCUUUCUCCUGGGUUUCAGGGAUUGAACUUGGUUCAUCAAGUUUGUGUGGAAUGUAUCUAUAAAGACUGGCCUUGGCACCUCUGGUAAGAAUGAGCUAGUGAUAAACCUCAUGUGUGAUGAUGGCUUCUUUCAAAGAGAAGCACCGGGAUUUGAAAGCCAUUGGUGGGGAGCAUCGUGACCCUGUCCUUCUGGAAAUCCUCACCUUGACUGCAGAGGACCUGGCUGUUGCUGUCUUAGGAAUCAGUUGGGCUUGUGCUAGUUGACAUAUCUAACAUUUCUUUGUCUUUCUCUUUUCUUAAGGAUAAUCUUUCUACACUUCACAAUGUUCAGAUUCUCCAGAGUUCUAGACUUGACCCACCGUUCAUCCUAAUCCUCUGGACUUCUAACCAGAUCCCUUCUCUCCCUGAGCCUUCAUUAUCAGCCCUCAUAGACUCCCUAGCUCAUGGUAGAGCCAUGUCAGAUUCCCACUGAAUGGUUCUAGCCAAUGGACCUCAGACACUUAGAUUCCUCCUCACAAAGCUAAUCUCUUGUCACUUUUCUUUUAUG